RNAcentral lists this ribosomal RNA (206 nucleotides) under uncultured bacterium. Its description in RNAcentral is "partial 16S ribosomal RNA". It matches the Rfam family "Bacterial small subunit ribosomal RNA", at positions 1285 to 1500 of the family's 1533-position model. The record is from RNAcentral.
GUCCCAGUUCGGACUGCAGGCUGCAACUCGCCUGCACGAAGCCGGAGUUGCUAGUAAUCGCGGAUCAGAAUGCCGCGGUGAAUGCGUUCCCGGGUCUUGUACACACCGCCCGUCACACCAUGGAAGUUGGGGGUGCCCAAAGCCGGCAGGGAAAUAUGCUGUCUAAGGCAAAACCAAUGACUGGGGUGAAGUCGUAACAAGGUAAC